Molecule: transfer RNA, 508 nt
Filed under: Halorubrum lacusprofundi
Lineage: Archaea; Methanobacteriati; Methanobacteriota; Halobacteria; Halobacteriales; Haloferacaceae
Rfam family: tRNA (bases 158-229)
Source: RNAcentral
CCGACCCGAGACUCGCCCUUCUGGGCGACUCACCUUUCGACCGUCACCAGACGGUCACUAUUCAUGCAUGGUCUGUGUCCGACCACUCGCCGGCCUGGACACCGACGAACUACCACGGUUCACACAGACACCGAUCAUCCUUCCCACGUGGGAAGGUGGGCUCAUAGCUCAGCGGUAGAGUGCCUCCUUUGCAAGGAGGAUGCCCUGGGUUCGAAUCCCAGUGAGUCCAUGUCAGCCUCGGUCCGAAUCCGUCCCCUUAAGUGGAAGACGCGACUCGGAUUGAGUAGACGACGACCGAUGCACCAUCUCGGGAAACCGCGGAUGGGAAGGGUUCGACGGACACGCUCCUGCCUGGACGUGAUCCAAUGACGACCGUGUAUACGUGCGAUCCAGACGUCCACUGAACUCAUACGAGUUCGUGGAACGUCAGUGAACCAUAUACAGUCGGGUGACAUUUAGUCACUUGACACCGUCAGCGGUUCUUUAUUGAAUCGACUGACACACUACU